This 679-nucleotide ribosomal RNA is filed under the name uncultured marine eukaryote. Its description in RNAcentral is "bacterial SSU rRNA". It matches the Rfam family "Eukaryotic small subunit ribosomal RNA", at positions 1 to 689 of the family's 1831-position model. The record is from RNAcentral.
UAUCUGGUUGAUCCUGCCAGUAGUCAUAUGCUUGUCUUAAAGAUUAAGCCAUGCAUGUCUAAGUAUAAGCAUUUAUACCGCGAGACUGCGAACGGCUCAUUAAAACAGUUAUGGUUUAUUUGAUGGUUCCUUUGCUACUUGGAUAACCGUAGUAAUUCUAGAGCUAAUACAUGCACGAAGGGGCGACUCACGAAGCCCUGUAUUUAUUAGAUUAAAACCAACCACCUCCGGGUGUUCGUGGUGAAUCAUAGUAACUUCUCGGAUCGCCGGCUCAACGCCAGCGACGUGUCAUUCAAAUUUCCGCCCUAUCAGCUUUAGAUGGUAGGAUAUGGGCCUACCAUGGCGGUGACGGGUAACGGAGAAUUAGGGUUCGAUUCCGGAGAGGGAGCCUGAGAAACGGCUACCACUUCUAAGGAAGGCAGCAGGCGCGCAAAUUACCCAAUCCUGACUCAGGGAGGUAGUGACAAGAAAUAACAAUAAACCGGCUUAUGCCGGUUUAAUUGGAAUGAGUACAAUUUAAACAUCUUAACGAGGAACAAUUGGAGGGCAAGUCUGGUGCCACAGCCCGCGGUAAUUCCAGCUCCAAUAGCGUAUCUAAAGUUGUUGCAGUUAAAAACUCGUAGUUGGAUUCUGCGGGGGCGGGGCGGCCGAUCGCCACUGGCGAGCCGAGCUAGCACUU